This 398-nucleotide ribosomal RNA is filed under the name uncultured bacterium. RNAcentral's name for it is "partial 16S ribosomal RNA". It matches the Rfam family "Bacterial small subunit ribosomal RNA", at positions 523 to 918 of the family's 1533-position model. The record is from RNAcentral.
AUACGUAGGGUGCGAGCGUUGUCCGGAAUUACUGGGCGUAAAAAGCUCGUAGGUGGUUUGUCGCGUCGUCUGUGAAAUUCCGGGGCUUAACUCCGGGCGUGCAGGCGAUACGGGCAUAACUUGAGUACUGUAGGGGAGACUGGAAUUCCUGGUGUAGCGGUGAAAUGCGCAGAUAUCAGGAGGAACACCGGUGGCGAAGGCGGGUCUCUGGGCAGUAACUGACGCUGAGGAGCGAAAGCAUGGGUAGCGAACAGGAUUAGAUACCCUGGUAGUCCAUGCCGUAAACGGUGGGCGCUAGGUGUAGGGGUCUUCCACGACUUCUGUGCCGUAGCUAACGCAUUAAGCGCCCCGCCUGGGGAGUACGGCCGCAAGGCUAAAACUUAAAGGAAUUGACGGGG